This 72-nucleotide transfer RNA is filed under the name Candidatus Magnetovum chiemense. Its description in RNAcentral is "Candidatus Magnetoovum chiemensis tRNA". It matches the Rfam family "tRNA". Rfam says of the family: Transfer RNA (tRNA) molecules are approximately 80 nucleotides in length. Lineage: Bacteria; Pseudomonadati; Nitrospirota; Nitrospiria; Nitrospirales; Nitrospiraceae. The record is from Rfam by way of RNAcentral.
GCGGGCGUAGCUCAGUGGUAGAGCAUAACCUUGCCAAGGUUGGGGUCGCGAGUUCGAAUCUCGUCGCCCGCU